ACUCCUACGGGAGGCAGCAGUGGGGAAUAUUGGACAAUGGGGGCAACCCUGAUCCAGCAAUUCUGUGUGCACGAAGAAGGUUUUCGGAUUGUAAAGUGCUUUCAGCAGGGAAGAAGAAAGUGACGGUACCUGCAGAAGAAGCGACGGCUAAAUACGUGCCAGCAGCCGCGGUAAUACGUAUGUCGCAAGCGUUAUCCGGAAUUAUUGGGCAUAAAGGGCAUCUAGGCGGCCCUGUAAGUCUAGGGUGAAAACCUGCGGCUCAACCGCAGGCCUGCCCCGGAAACUACAGGGCUAGAGUAUCGGAGAGGUGGACGGAACUGCACGAGUAGAGGUGAAAUUCGUAGAUAUGUGCAGGAAUGCCGAUGAUGAAGAUAGUUCACUGGACGGUAACUGACGCUGAAGUGCGAAAGCUAGGGGAGCAAACAGGAUUAGAUACCCUUGUAGUCCUGAGU
RNAcentral lists this ribosomal RNA (452 nucleotides) under uncultured bacterium. RNAcentral describes it as "bacterial SSU rRNA". It matches the Rfam family "Bacterial small subunit ribosomal RNA", at positions 335 to 800 of the family's 1533-position model. The record is from RNAcentral.